Molecule: long non-coding RNA, 847 nt
Filed under: Carica papaya (papaya)
Lineage: Eukaryota; Viridiplantae; Streptophyta; Magnoliopsida; Brassicales; Caricaceae
Description: long non-coding RNA (CPAP_LNC010073)
Source: RNAcentral
AGGUUUUCUCUCACUGCCACUAUGAUCACAUUUUAUUUCUGGUUCCUUAUUAAUCGCUCUCAUUCUCAUAGAUUUCCUAUCUAGUUUAUUAUUCUCUAACAGCAGUUAUUGCCCAAGUUUCUUGACAUUUAAUAGAACAUGUUCUUCCCCUAAACUAAAUUUACUCACUGUUCACACAGUGUAACAUCCUGGGCUCAAGAAUGAUUAAUUUCAAAAUAAGGGAGAUUGAUUAUAUAUAUAUAUGUUAAUGAUAAUAAUAAAAUAAUGAUAAUAAUAAUAAUAACAAUAAAAAAUUUAUUUAUCAAGAAAGUGUAAAAUAAUGAAGAAAAAAAUUCAUUUUGGACCUUUUUGAAACAAAUUUUAGAAAUUAGGGCCAAUCUAUAAAAUAAGGGGGGGACUUACUUGAAAGAAACUUGGAAAACCAGGGCCACUUCGUAAAUGAAAGGAAAUGGGCCACGUAGGAUGACCAUGUUAGCAGCAUGGAAAAUCAAGACGUGCCGCAUGGCAAAUGUGUCAGCAGGCCUCUCCACGCAGGAAGCCAUGCUGGCGAUUCGCAUGCCAGAGGGAUCGAAUGACUUGGAUUUAUUCCCACUCGCAUGAAUAGCCAGAUCUCGAUCUCGCCUAAAUUUGAAUGAGCGGCCCUGAUUGCCCAUGUGAUAGAUCCAACAAUCGCACGAUCGAUGGCUCAGAUUUGCAGGGCUGAUCUAUCGAACGGUUCGGAAUAUGUAAGGGAGGAGAAUAUGAUGGGAUGCCCUAAAUAAGCAAGAUCGGAUGGUCCCUAUUGAUCCACACGGACCAGAAUAAACAAAUUAGAUUAAUGGGAGAGAGGUAUUUAAACCUCUUAUUC